Molecule: transfer RNA, 69 nt
Filed under: Obama sp. MAP-2014
Lineage: Eukaryota; Metazoa; Platyhelminthes; Tricladida; Geoplanidae
Description: tRNA-Ser
Source: RNAcentral
UAAAAAUUAAGUAUUUAAAUAGAAGGCUUCUAACUUUUUAUUGUAUAAUUUACAAUUAUGCAUUUUUAU